This is a long non-coding RNA of Seriola aureovittata, 2444 nucleotides long. RefSeq lists it as uncharacterized. The transcript is spliced from 3 exons. The record is from RefSeq and is a predicted model, not a curated record. Lineage: Eukaryota; Metazoa; Chordata; Actinopteri; Carangiformes; Carangidae.
CACAAAGGCAAACAGAGACACGUGACUUGAUAGGUAAAAGUAUGAUGAGAGCAAGGCAGCAGGGAGGAUGGGUGUUGGGGCAGGGAAUCCACAUGGAUGGAACAGUAAUUGCAUUCAGAAAGAUACACAAGCUCAGCUCUAAACCGGAAAAAACAAAUCUCCCUAAUCAAAUUCUAAUUCUAUUACUGCUGCACCAAAGCAACAGACAAUUUUGCUUACUUUCUUUUUUUGCAUACCAAACAAACAAAUAACCCUACUGAGAAAUAUGUUAAAAUGUUUUUCUAUAUAAAAUUAAAGUUUCAGAUAAAUGAACAAUAGAUAGGUACAUGUAUAUGAACAAUAAAUGCAAAUUAAGAAUGUCUUGUUAUGCAUUUGGAUCACCCUUAGUAAGAUCUAUAUUUAACUGCAGAUAUGAUUACAUCUAUCAUUAUAGUGUUAAAAAGCAGUGUAAAGAAGUGCAAUCUAAAGGUGAGCUUACACCUACUCCAACUGACAUUAAACACCCACAAUGGAGUCAUGAUGCCUGAGCAAGAACUAUGCAAGACCUACAGUAUGAUAAGGAAUAAAAACCAUAAGACAGCUGUAAAUGCAGCUUCAAAAACAUUCAAGAAAAUCCUGUCCCACAAAAUUUUAAUAGUUGUGUUAAUGUGUUAAAAAUGUGAGGAACACAAACACCAACGGCAAAUCACAUCAACACACAAUUACAUAUAUUUGUUAACUUUAAUAAGUUGGUGGAAACACAUUGUGGUAUAAAAACAACUGGAACAAUAAGAGGACAAGAGAACACAUAAAACAACAUAAAAUACAUGUGACAAUGGAACAUAAAAUAGCAAAACGAAAUGAAAAUUAUGUAAACAAAUUAAGUUAAAAAUGGCAUUAAAUUAACAUGUUUAGUAUGUUUUGGUUAUGGCUCACAAAUGAAAACAUGACAAUGUUACAUGAGUGAGUGUGACCAGUGUUACAUGAGGACAAGAUUGCUGCAAUUGAUAAACUACAACAGAUAUUUGGCACUAACAAUACCAAGCAUAUCGCCUCAGUCAUAGACACAACAAUCAACAAAUUAUCAAACAAAAAAACCUAAACAAAAUGACACGAGACUCCAGUCUGUGCACAUGGAGGGAAAUUUAUGCUUUAUGCAGUGGAGUUCUACAAUCCCUUUAGCUAUAGAGUCAUAUGUCAUAUAUAAGUUAUGAAGCACAUUAUGACAAAGCAUCAUGAAAUGCACAGUAGGGGACAUUAAAUAUAUAAUUCCAGUUUCAGAGUCUGACUGCUGUAUCAAGUCCGUAAUAAGGGGAAAUUAGAAAUUUGUCAGAUUCAAUGAGCAGCAAUUUUACAAGAGAGUAGUGGAGUUGAGCAGAGUGCCCCAUAUUUACACAUUUAUUCCCCCUUUUUACUCCAUCUGCUACUGAUGAGUAAUUGACAGUUCCUUGAAGGGAUUAUAAUUGAGGAAAAGCUGAAUAUGUGCUUUCAAAAAGCAAAAAAGGGAAAAGAAAUCUAGAGAGAAGAGCUGCAGCUACUCAAAAACCCAGCCAAGAAGGAAGAAAGAGCAGUUAAUGUGAAAGAAAUUAGGUUACCAUGGAAACUUUGAGAAUACAAAGACGACUUGUUAGCUUGAGGAACAGGGUUAGCAAGUUCAUGCCACAACACUUGACCAAAUGUGCCGUAGCUGUGAGAGGAAUGAAAAAGAAUGAAGAGCUGAAUUAAGGAAAGCUGGAUGAAGAAUCUCAUUAAUACGAGAAAAGAGUGCAGGACUUCCAGAAGGUGGCGUCGGAAACCCUCCAGUUGAGAAAGGCCCAGCCUAUGAGAGACAAGAGGGGAAGGGUCUCCCGUAGAUGGGAUGAUGCACCAAAAGCCAGCGAGAGUGCUUCAUAUGCUGAGAGCAGAAAUGCAAUCCUGAGGUCAACAAAGUGGACACUCCCCCGUCCUCAGCUGCACCUGAUGAUUCUGUCCGUGAUGACCACAAACAGAGUCUGUGACAAAGCACAGCUUUGGCCGAGUCCAACACCUACUGAGGACACACUUGACUUACUGCUGAGGAUGUGGACACAGCUCUCAGCACUCCAUAAACGGCUGGGUGAAGUGUUAUCAAAACAUAAAUGAUGGUCAAAGCCACUAAAUAAAGCCACUAAAUGAACAGACUAGCUCCCAGUUUGUGAGUGUGCUGCACUGCACACCAGCCCUGUGCUAAAUGAUGUUGUCUGACAAGAGUACCGUCUGGUUUGGAAGCAUAACACUGUAUCCAGGGCUGUAGGACUCUUUGUGCAGAAUAGCCUAAAAAAGGCAUAUCACAAUUUACCUCAACAGUGUAUUAUACAAAAAAUGAUACACGCACAACAACAAAGAAAAGGAAAUACAAAUGAACCGUUGCCUGAUGCUGUUAAACUGCUCCUCAACAAACAUCCUUUGCUUUAUUCAGGAAGUAAAACCCCAGACACCUCCGAGUG